GACGAACGCUGGCGGCGUGCUUAACACAUGCAAGUCGAACGCUGAAGCUCAGCUUGCUGGGUGGAUGAGUGGCGAACGGGUGAGUAACACGUGAGUAACCUGCCCUCUUCUUUGGGAUAACGCCCGGAAACGGGUGCUAAUACUGGAUAUUCACUGAUUCUCGCAUGGGGGUUGGUGGAAAGGUUUUUUCUGGUGGGGGAUGGGCUCGCGGCCUAUCAGCUUGUUGGUGGGGUGAUGGCCUACCAAGGCUUUGACGGGUAGCCGGCCUGAGAGGGUGACCGGUCACAUUGGGACGGAGAUACGGCCCAGACUCCUACGGGAGGCAGCAGUGGGGAAUAUUGCACAAUGGGCGAAAGCCUGAUGCAGCGACGCCGCGUGAGGGAUGGAGGCCUUCGGGUUGUAAACCUCUUUCGCUCAUGGUCAAGCCGCAGCUUGGGGUUGUGGUGAGGGUAGUGGGUAAAGAAGCGCCGGCUAACUACGUG
This 482-nucleotide ribosomal RNA is filed under the name uncultured bacterium. Its description in RNAcentral is "partial 16S ribosomal RNA". It matches the Rfam family "Bacterial small subunit ribosomal RNA", at positions 28 to 507 of the family's 1533-position model. The record is from RNAcentral.